Molecule: long non-coding RNA, 258 nt
Filed under: Homo sapiens (human)
Lineage: Eukaryota; Metazoa; Chordata; Mammalia; Primates; Hominidae
Description: non-protein coding lnc-DAPK3-4:1
Source: RNAcentral
GCCGGGUGUGGUGGUGGGUGCCUGUAAUCCCAGCUACUCGGGAGGCUGAGGCAGGAGAAUCGCUUGAACCCGGGAGGUGGAGGUUGCAGUGAGCCAAGAUCGCACCAUUGCACUCUGGCCCCUGGGCGACAAGAGUGAAAAUCUGUCUUAAAAAAAAAAAAAAGAUACAGGGUCUUGUUAUGUUGCCCAGGCUGGAGGGCAGUGGUGCAAUCAUGGCUCACUGCAGCUUCCAGCUCCGGGCUCAAGUGAUCCUCCCAC